AACGCACAUUGCGCUCCCUGGUAUUCCGGGGAGCAUGCUCGUUUCAGAAUCAUUAACAUUCUCAAAAACACGGUCUGAACCUUCGGGGGAUGCCGUUACUCUUUCGGAUGUGAGCCCUUUUGCUGCAAGGCAAUGGCUUGAAAAUGAUUGUGUUUGCAACCGGCCUCCUUGGUUCGGUUCUCUCAAGUGCAACAGAUGUUAGCUCAUUCGUUACCUCUUGAUGAGAAGCGAUUCCAUUGUCCGGAUGAUCUUACACUCAACCAAAAUACACUCUCAGUGAUUCGAAGGGAUCACUGUUUGAUAACUUGGUCUGAAAUCGAGCAAGAAAACCCGCUGAACUUAA
Molecule: unclassified non-coding RNA, 343 nt
Filed under: uncultured Powellomyces
Lineage: Eukaryota; Fungi; Chytridiomycota; Chytridiomycetes; Spizellomycetales; Powellomycetaceae
Description: sequence contains ITS2
Source: RNAcentral